RNAcentral lists this ribosomal RNA (446 nucleotides) under uncultured bacterium. RNAcentral's name for it is "bacterial SSU rRNA". It matches the Rfam family "Bacterial small subunit ribosomal RNA", at positions 330 to 793 of the family's 1533-position model. The record is from RNAcentral.
UCCAGACUCCUACGGGAGGCAGCAGUGGGGAAUAUUGCACAAUGGGGGAAACCCUGAUGCAGCGACGCCGCGUGAGCGAUGAAGUACUUCGGUAUGUAAAGCUCUCUCAGCAGGGAAGAAAAUGACGGUACCUGACUAAGAAGCCCCGGCUAACUACGUGCCAGCAGCCGCGGUAAUACGUAGGGGGCAAGCGUUAUCCGGAUUUACUGGGUGUAAAGGGAGCGUAGACGGCAAUGCAAGCCAGAUGUGAAAGCCCGGGGCUCAACCCCGGGACUGCAUUUGGAACUGUGUAGCUGGAGUGUCGGAGAGGCAGGCGGAAUUCCUAGUGUAGCGGUGAAAUGCGUAGAUAUUAGGAGGAACACCAGUGGCGAAGGCGGCCUGCUGGACGAUGACUGACGUUGAGGCUCGAAAGCGUGGGGAGCAAAUAGGAUUAGAUACCCUCGUAA